This is a non-coding RNA of Doryrhamphus excisus (bluestripe pipefish), 2018 nucleotides long. The record is from RefSeq and is a predicted model, not a curated record. NCBI's taxonomy places the organism in Eukaryota, Metazoa, Chordata, Actinopteri, Syngnathiformes, Syngnathidae.
CUCCCAUCCAGCAGGGGGAACUAAAGGUUCAUUUUGCAGGCAACAAUCCCAUCAUGGCUGCCACAAACAAACAAACAAUCCUCGUGCAUGCAAUAGAGACAUCUUCAUUUGUGUUUCUCAUGCUGGAAGUUUGUCUUCAAUGCUGCAAGCGAGACAAAAUGUUCAAAGGAGGAAAGUCCACAGAAUUGAGCGCCGACGCCUCGUGAGGCAUCUGAAGACAAAGUUGGAGAUGUUUGGAGAGAAGACAACGGCGGGGAUUUUACACCACAAGACAAGCAAGAGGAGGACGGACCAGCACCGGAGGAGCCACGAAGAGAUAUAAGGAAUCAAAUUCUAACAUUUUCCAACAGACAGUAUCUACAGUGGUGGAUCGAUGGAUCUGCGCGAUCGAUCGAUCGAUAGCGCUGCGCCCGAGAUGGAUCCAUCGUUAGCGCACAAAUCGAUCGAUUUCUGCGCCCACGAUCUAUGGUAUAUUAUUGUGCACGGGAUGGGUGUGUGUAGUUUGUUUAGAUGCCAACAGAUGGCAGCGCUGAGCGUUGUUACUUACAAGAAUCAACAAGAAGUCGAUGCAUGCAAAUUUCAAAUCUUUGAUUAAUUGUCAAGCAGUUCACUUUGUUACCGUUUUAGACAUUGUAUGCAAUUAGCAGAUCGAUUGUCAUUAUAAUUUCAUGUUUUCGCUUUAAACAUUGUGUAUGAUGUGACCUUGUAUCUCCCUUUUUAAAAUAAAAUUGAUAAUCUAAUAAAUAAAAGCAAAACAUUUCCCUAACCCUAAAUAAAGUAUUCUAUUAUUAUUAGCUUUCGAAGGCAAUAUAUAUUUUUAGAGACACAAUAAAACGAACAACUACAAGUUAACAAAUAUCUAUUUUACAAACCAACAUGAACUCAUGUAUUUAUGAGUUACUUUUAUUUCAACGUUCCUUUUGUUGUCAAAUCAAAGCUUUGUCCGCCGUCAGCGCAGUGUCAAAGCAUCGUUCUCCAGCGCAAUAUCCAUUGCGAGUGCAGAAAUCGAUCGAUUUGUGUGCUAACGAUGGAUCCAUCUCGGAUCCAUCUAUCGCUCGAUCGCGCAGAUCCAUCGUUAGCGUGUAAUACACCUAUAUCCAUAUUUUGUUUUCAUCUGAAAACAAUGCAGUACUUGUGUGUUUUGUAGCUUUUCAUUGGCCAGCAAUGAUAGUAGGUAUGUUACUACCUUCAGGAAGGAGAUUAUGUAUGCAUACAUUAUCUUAAUUAACAACUGAGCUGAUUUCCAGAUAAUUUUGGUGCAGGUUUGGAAGGUUAAAGUGUAUCAAAGUAAUUUGGUUCUGUAUAUUUCAGUGUAUGGAUUGAUUUUUGAACCACAAUUCCCUAAGUACUCCUUAAUUAACGUACGCACAACUCAUUGUAGAGGUUAGGUUGUGGAACAACAACAACGACGUCCAUCAAUGUAGUCCAUUUCUCAUAUAUUACCUUUAUUCUGGAGUGGAUGGUGGGGAUAUCAGGAGCGCCCCUACUGCUACUGUCCAGGUGCCUGCAUGCAACAAUGAAUAAGUUAAUGCUAUAGCGCGGCAGCAAAGGUCAUGUAAUACAAUAGGGAAGAGCUCCACAGCAUAUUGAAAUAAAAUCAAACCAAAAAAACCCAGCAAAAAUUGUAAUAUAAAGGCAUUAAAGAGAAAAACUAAAUUAAAAAAUACUUUGAAAUAUUAAAGUGGGCCCUGCUUCCUUUGAUUUUCAAUAUGCAGCCAUCUGUGGAAGAAGGAAGAAGCAUCUCUUGUGUACUGCCCCCUUGUGGGCAUGCCACAGACAUUCCAAGGAAUUUGUCUUAGGCCAGGGGUCUCAAACACAUGGCCGUAGUUUGAGGCCCCCGCCUUGAUAUGGAAGUUUAAUGUUAGUGCGGCCCGCGCAAGUUUGAUAUGGAUGCUGUAUGGUAUCAUGUACCCAGAAAAAAUUAUUACGUUUGAUUAAUGUUCAUGUUAAAGGUUAAAUAACUGUUAAUAGUUAUCCUCCCUAUCCGUGUGGAAGUGGUAAGUUUUUGGCUAUUUAAG